AGUGGGGAAUCUUGCGCUAAUGCGCGAAAGCGUGACGCAGCGACGCCGCGUGGGGGAUGAAGGCCCUCGGGUUGUAAACCCCUUUCGGCAGGGACGAAGCGAAAGUGACGGUACCUGCAGAAGAAGUCCCGGCUAACUACGUGCCAGCAGCCGCGGUAACACGUAGGGGACGAGCGUUGUCCGGAUUUAUUGGGCGUAAAGCGCGCGUAGGCGGCCCGGAAAGUCGGUUGUGAAAUCCCGGGGCUCAACCCCGGGACCGCGUCCGAUACUUCCGAGCUCGAGGCAGGUAGGGGAGAUCGGAAUUCCUGGUGUAGCGGUGAAAUGCGCAGAUAUCAGGAGGAACACCGGUGGCGAAGGCGGAUCUCUGGGCCUUGCCUGACGCUGAGGCGCGAAAGCUAGGGGAGCGAACAGGAUUAGAUACCCUGGUAGUCCUAGCCGUAAACGUUGGGUGCUAGGUGUGGGCGGACAUCGACCCCGUCCGUGCCGAAGCUAACGCAUUAAGCACCCCGCCUGGGGAGUACGGCCGCAAGGCUA
This 534-nucleotide ribosomal RNA is filed under the name uncultured Actinomycetes bacterium. RNAcentral describes it as "bacterial SSU rRNA". It matches the Rfam family "Bacterial small subunit ribosomal RNA", at positions 353 to 896 of the family's 1533-position model. The record is from RNAcentral. Lineage: Bacteria; Bacillati; Actinomycetota; Actinomycetes.